This 89-nucleotide transfer RNA is filed under the name Thermoproteota archaeon. Its description in RNAcentral is "tRNA-Ser". It matches the Rfam family "tRNA". Rfam says of the family: Transfer RNA (tRNA) molecules are approximately 80 nucleotides in length. Their secondary structure includes four short double-helical elements and three loops (D, anti-codon, and T loops). Lineage: Archaea; Thermoproteati; Thermoproteota. The record is from RNAcentral. RNAcentral also lists the same sequence under 1 other name.
GCCGGGGUGGCCGAGUGGACAAGGCGUUGGCCUCGAGAGCCAAUGCCCGCUGAGCGGGCGCGUGGGUUCAAAUCCCACCCCCGGCGCCA